UACGGGGGGGGCAAGCGUUGUUCGGAAUUACUGGGCGUAAGGGGCUCGUAGGCGGCCAACUAAGUCAGACGUGAAAUCCCUCGGCUUAACCGGGGAACUGCGUCUGAUACUGGAUGGCUUGGAUUCGGGAGAGGAAUGCGGAAUUCCAGGUGUAGCGGUGAAAUGCGUAGAUAUCUGGAGGAACACCGGUGGCGAAGGCGGCAUUCUGGACCGACAUUGACGCUGAGGAGCGAAAGCCAGGGGAGCAAACGGG
Molecule: ribosomal RNA, 253 nt
Filed under: uncultured bacterium
Lineage: Bacteria
Description: partial 16S ribosomal RNA
Rfam family: Bacterial small subunit ribosomal RNA
Source: RNAcentral